UACGUAGGGUGCAAGCGUUAAUCGGAAUUACUGGGCGUAAAGAGCGCGCAGGCGGUCGUUCAAGUCGCGUGUGAAAGCCCCCGGCUCAACUGGGGAGGGUCACGCGAUACUGAUCGACUCGAAGGCAGGAGAGGGAAGUGGAAUUCCCGGUGUAGUGGUGAAAUGCGUAGAUAUCGGGAGGAACACCAGUGGCGAAGGCGACUCCCUGGCCUGUUCUUGACGCUGAGGCGCGAAAGCUAGGGGAGCAAACGGG
RNAcentral lists this ribosomal RNA (253 nucleotides) under uncultured bacterium. RNAcentral's name for it is "partial 16S ribosomal RNA". It matches the Rfam family "Bacterial small subunit ribosomal RNA", at positions 524 to 776 of the family's 1533-position model. The record is from RNAcentral.